GGUUUUCUCGCUGUUAAUAGAGAUCUCUUUAGUGCUUCAUAUGUUGAAACUAGCUGAGUGAUUUGUGCUUCCUAAAGACUAGGUGAAUUAGGUAGCAAGAAGCGUACGCAGUACUUGCUAGUCAUGGCACAACGAGAGUCUUCAAGAAUAAGGAAUAAAGAUACAGGAGAAACUGUUCCAGUUGGAACACCUAUAUCUUUGGUGAAU
This is a long non-coding RNA of Solanum tuberosum (potato), 207 nucleotides long. RefSeq lists it as uncharacterized. The transcript is spliced from 2 exons. Lineage: Eukaryota; Viridiplantae; Streptophyta; Magnoliopsida; Solanales; Solanaceae. The record is from RefSeq and is a predicted model, not a curated record.